GCUCAACCGAGGAAGUGCUUCGAAAACUGGUAAACUUGAGUGCAGAAGAGGAAAGUGGAACUCCAUGUGUAGCGGUGGAAUGCGUAGAUAUAUGGAAGAACACCAGUGGCGAAGGCGGCUUUCUGGUCUGUAACUGACGCUGAGAUUCGAAAGCAUGGGUAGCAAACAGGAUUAGAUACCCUGGUAGUCCAUGCCGUAAACGAUGAGUGCUAAGUGUUGAAGGGUUUCCGCCCUUCAGUGCUGCAGCUAACGCAUUAAGCACUCCGCCUGGGGAGUACGAUCGCAAGAUUGAAACUCAAAGGAAUUGACGGGGGCCCGCACAAGCGGUGGAGCAUGUGGUUUAAUUCGAAGCAACGCGAAGAACCUUACCAGGUCUUGACAUACCAUGAAAAGCUUAGAGAUAAGUCUUUCCCUUCGGGGACAUGGAUACAGGUGGUGCAUGGUUGUCGUCAGCUCGUGUCGUGAGAUGUUGGGUUAAGUCCCGCAACGAGCGCAACCCUUAUUAUCAGUUGCCAGCAUUCAGUUGGGCACUCUGGUGAGACUGCCGGUGAUAAACCGGAGGAAGGUGGGGACGACGUCAAAUCAUCAUGCCCCUUAUGACCUGGGCUACACACGUGCUACAAUGGUCGGUACAACG
This 637-nucleotide ribosomal RNA is filed under the name uncultured bacterium. RNAcentral's name for it is "bacterial SSU rRNA". It matches the Rfam family "Bacterial small subunit ribosomal RNA", at positions 607 to 1244 of the family's 1533-position model. The record is from RNAcentral.